GACGAACGCUGGCGGCGUGCCUAAUACAUGCAAGUAGAACGCUGAAGAGAGGAGCUUGCUCUUCUUGGAUGAGUUGCGAACGGGUGAGUAACGCGUAGGUAACCUGCCUUGUAGCGGGGGAUAACUAUUGGAAACGAUAGCUAAUACCGCAUAACAAUGGAUGACACAUGUCAUUUAUUUGAAAGGGGCAAUUGCUCCACUACAAGAUGGACCUGCGUUGUAUUAGCUAGUAGGUGAGGUAAUGGCUCACCUAGGCGACGGUACAUAGCCGACCUGAGAGGGUUAUCGGCCACACUGGGACUGAGACACGGCCCCGACUCCUUCGGGGGGCAGCAGUAGGGAAUCUUCGGCAAUGGGGGCAACCCUUACCGAGCAACGCCGCGGGGGUGAAGAAGGUUUUCGGAUCGUAAAGCUCUGUUGUAAGUCAAGAACGGGUGUGAGGGUGGAAAGUUCACACUGUGACGUUAGCUUACCAGAAAGGGACGGCUAACUACGUG
This 497-nucleotide ribosomal RNA is filed under the name uncultured bacterium. RNAcentral describes it as "partial 16S ribosomal RNA". It matches the Rfam family "Bacterial small subunit ribosomal RNA", at positions 28 to 507 of the family's 1533-position model. The record is from RNAcentral.